GACGUAGGGCGCGAGCGUUGUCCGGAUUUAUUGGGCGUAAAGAGCUCGUAGGCGGCUUGUCGCGUCGUUCGUGAAAAACCGGGGCUCAACUCCGGGCUUGCGGGCGAUACGGGCAGGCUAGAGUUCGGUAGGGGAGACUGGAAUUCCUGGUGUAGCGGUGAAAUGCGCAGAUAUCAGGAGGAACACCGGUGGCGAAGGCGGGUCUCUGGGCCGAUACUGACGCUGAGGAGCGAAAGCGUGGGGAGCGAACAGG
Molecule: ribosomal RNA, 253 nt
Filed under: uncultured bacterium
Lineage: Bacteria
Description: partial 16S ribosomal RNA
Rfam family: Bacterial small subunit ribosomal RNA
Source: RNAcentral